Ylistrum balloti is the source of this 453-nucleotide long non-coding RNA. RefSeq lists it as uncharacterized. The record is from RefSeq and is a predicted model, not a curated record. Lineage: Eukaryota; Metazoa; Mollusca; Bivalvia; Pectinida; Pectinidae. The transcript is spliced from 2 exons.
UUCGCAAGGAAAGACCGUGUUGCAUCCAGCAUGUUUCAGGCCAUCGAAAAACGUGACCCCGAGGAAGAAAGCAAAAAGGCCAUGCAAGUCAACAUCGGAAAUUUAGCAACGUUUGUUAUCGCAUGCAGCGUCAUUAGGGCACUUCCCUGGAUACUUCAACAGGUUGAUCUUGCCUAGAAUGUGUUGAAAAUUGCAGUCCCAUUGUUUGAGAUGGUAAUUAAAUGUGUCUGGGAUGCAGCCAAACUGACCACAUGAACAGAGACUAGGCCAGACCGACAACUUGUGCACCACCACCAAGCUGAAAGAUGUACCCAGAAACGGUCAAGACUGAUCUUUUUAGAUCUUUCAACACCAUUUCCACUAAGAAUAAGAACUCGCAGCUUGCAACAUAAAUCAUAUAAUCAAAUUGAGUGUUGAUUUUCAAAUAAAAUUUUUUAGCAUGUUAUGAAAAAA